RNAcentral lists this long non-coding RNA (1061 nucleotides) under Struthio camelus australis. RNAcentral's name for it is "lncRNA (ENSSCUG00000010676.1)". Lineage: Eukaryota; Metazoa; Chordata; Aves; Struthioniformes; Struthionidae. The record is from RNAcentral.
UUUAGAAAGGAGAUACAGGGAUGAACUGUUAGUCCUAUCUAGUGUAGCUGCCAGUGACAGAGUUGGGAAUAAAACUUGGUUUUGAUUUUCUUUUUUCAGGUUUGUAGUUGUCAUAGAUACACAUGCAUCCACAAAGCACAAUGCACUGACAUAUUGAUAAUUAAAUUUUUAAAAAGCUAGUGGAAAAGAGUGUUCAAACAUUGUAAUAUGAUUGACAGGAAGACUAUUUCCUGGCUUAUACAUUAAUGUCAUUAAAUAUGUAGAUCAUGCCUCCUCUGAGCAGGAUGAUUACUGAAUACUACAGUCUGUUAACUGAAAGAGUGAACUAUGCAAAUGAACCUAUUCCAGCUCUUGUGAUUUCCUCGUGAUUUCUGACAAAGCAGUUGCAUCACCAAUUUCCCUUGUCAUACCUGUCAUCUUAGAAGCAAACUUUCUGAUUAUACAGCUGUCGAAGAAGUUUCUCACUCAUGCCAUUGGUUAUGUUUUACAUCUGCCUGACAAUGGUCAAUGGAUGUUUUGCACAGUCAUCUUCAAGUAAAGGUAUCCUAUGAGUUAAAGGCAAACAUAUCCUGUCUCAUUGGAGUUUUUAUGUUGAUACAUACUUUUACUGAGGAGAAACCACCUAUGGAAGAUCCAUUGCAGUGGAAGACUCCACCUGGAUCAAAUCUAGUAUCUUUUCUGGUUGAUAGUCAUAUUCUUCCUAUGGCAGCCACAAGGCACAAUCCUUUGAUGAGAAAACCUUGACGGUAUUUCAGAAGAGGAAGAAAUCAGUCUCUAUGGAGUCACUAGAGAUUUUGGCUAUUACUAAUUGAUGCUGCAUGGAGAGCACUCAGCGGUGACAGGCAUCAGUCUAAAGUGGUAAGACAAAGAGUUUCUAACCUUUGAAGUGUUGUGUGCAGAAGCUCUUGAAAAUGUAGAAAGUUUCUCUUUGCCUGCUGAGGUCUUGUGUGCCACAAGCCGUGUCUGGGCAAUUUGUUCUCUGCAUGUUGGGAGAGGUAAGGACAGAGGCCCUGAGGGACACUCUUAGGGUAUAGCACGAAACUCACAGCUCAGAAGGAGAG